Molecule: ribosomal RNA, 406 nt
Filed under: uncultured bacterium
Lineage: Bacteria
Description: partial 16S ribosomal RNA
Rfam family: Bacterial small subunit ribosomal RNA
Source: RNAcentral
GAUGAACGCUAGCUACAGGCUUAACACAUGCAAGUCGAGGGACCGGCGCAUGGGUGAGUAACACGUAUCCAACCUGCCCUUUACUCGGGGAUAGCCUUUCGAAAGAAAGAUUAAUACCCGAUAUAAAGGAUGGGGAUGCGUUACAUUAGGUUGUUGGUGAGGUAACGGCUCACCAAGCCUUCGAUGGAUAGGGGUUAUGAGAGGAAGGCCCCCCACAUUGGAACUAAGGCACGGUCCAAACUCCUACGGAGGACAGCAGUGUGGAAUAUUGGUCAAUGGGCGCUAGCCCUGACCAGCCAAGUAGCGUGAAGAGUGAAGGGUUUUGGGUCGUAAACUUCUUUUAUAUAAGAAUAUGUAUUAUAUGAAUAAGGAUCGGCUAACUCCGUGCCAGCAGCCGCGGUAAUUC